UGCUCCUUGGAAACAGAAAGUUUGACCAACAGGCUAUUCAUCUGUGUGGCUCUCCUUGAAGGUGAUGGAUGCCUGCUGAGUCACUGCCAUGGCCCAAAUCUCUGCCCUGCACAGCACAUUAAAGCAGAAAAUAUUGACUCCACCUGGCCUCCAUCCGGCAACACCCAGGAACUGUCAAACCAGUUUGGGUCUUUUUGGCCUCCUUUUAUAGUCAUGGUCCUAGGAGGGAAUGUGCCAAGUGUAUUGGAGACUUAAAUAAUCUAUUCAUUUUAAACAUUCACAGAACUGGGGCAUUUUCUAUACUUGUGCUAAUGUUCCCACUGUUAACUUAUCAUUAAAUUGGAUGAAAGAUUAAGCCUUGCUAUUAACUUAUUUAAUCCUUAACUGAUAUUUAAUUGUUAUUUCAGAGGGUGGGGGAGCCACUGGCUAUUUAGUCAGCAGUUGCUAGUGCUCUCAAGGACUAGUGUGUGCUAGGUCAAGAUGGAGACUAGCCAUAGUGGCUUAUUGGCAGGCGCCCUAGUUACAGGGCUUGUAUACCAGUGCACAGCUGUUUCUGUUUAGUUUAGGAUUAUCUUUAAGAUGUGUUAUUUUUUUCCGCUGUUUCCUUAGAUUAUUCAUGAAUGAAGACAGUGAUUUGAUGCAUGUAAAAUAUGAUUGACUGUCUUUAUUGUUUCCUCAAAAGUGAACACAGGGUAGGGAGAUGAGAGAUGAAAGGAAGAGGUUGGUAAAGAGUGUGAAAGAAGAGGGUGGAAAAAACAAAGGGAUAGAAAGGUGGAAAGAGGCAGAGGAGAGAAAACCCCAACAAUUCCUUCUGAACAAGCACUAUAUAGACAACAGUGGGGAGGAAAAACUCCUUUUAAACAGGAAGAAACCUCCAAAAGAACCAGGCUGAGGAAGGGACAGUCAACUGCCAGGACUAGAUGGGGGGUGAGGGUGAAAAAAGAAAGAAAAAGAAAAGGGAUGAAGAGGAAGGGGUGAACGAAGAGAGGUGAUAGGAGAGAAAGGGAGAGAGGGGAGAGGAGAGGUGGAGGAGGAAGCAGGAGGGUCCUUCCUGAAAAAGUGGAAGCGUUUUUUCUUCUUUCUCAGGCACUGUUCCUGGAGCUCUUUUAUGUGAAGGAUGAGAUUUUUUAUGUCAUCGAUUGUUUCUGCAUUUUGCUUCUCAAGUUUCUUGAGUCUUUUCUCCAGUUCUUAAAUGUUGCUUCUUUUUCUUUUAGUUCUUUAGAUUUUGCCUCCUGUAUUAGCUUUGCCUCAUGCAUGUCUGUAUUCCUCCGUUGUACUUCAUUGUAAAUGUCUUCUAACUCCUGAAUUCUCCUCUGCAUUUCAUUGAACCUACACUGCAUCUCUGAGCAUUGUUUUUGCAGUUUUUCCUUUUUUCCUUCUAGUUCAAUGGUUUUGUCCUUCUUUUUGUUAUAACAUACUUGUAGUUCUAGAUUUUUCCUCUCAGUCUUGGAGAACAAGUUGCAUUAUUUUCUGUAUUUCUUGCUGUUGCACUUUUUCUUGACGCAUUUCUGCAUUUUUAUGCAGUGCUUCAUCAAGUGUUAUUAGAAGCAAUUGGUGUUUUUCAUCCAUGUCUUGGAGUUUAUGCUCCGUUUGUUUCUGUUUUAUUUCCAGUUGUUUCUUCUGUUGAAGAAACUUUUUUCCCCAGCGCUUCAUCAAGUUUUACUUGUAGCUCCUGGUUGUUUUUCCUCUGUGUCUUGGAGAUUCCACUGUAUCUGCUCAUUAACAGCUUGUGUGUCUUCAAGCUCGUAAGACAUUUCUCUUAAUUGAGUACAGUUUUUCUUGUUUUCUCUCAUCAGGUCUCUAAUCUGCUGGCGUGCUUGACCAAACAUUAUUCCCCAGCCCUCAUUUAUAAUCUGAAUGUUGGGCUUGUAUUGUGUGUUUUUAAUUUGUUGGUCAU
This is a long non-coding RNA of Oreochromis niloticus (Nile tilapia), 1897 nucleotides long. RefSeq lists it as uncharacterized. The transcript has 3 exons. Lineage: Eukaryota; Metazoa; Chordata; Actinopteri; Cichliformes; Cichlidae. The record is from RefSeq and is a predicted model, not a curated record.